This 772-nucleotide long non-coding RNA is filed under the name Androctonus crassicauda. The record is from RNAcentral. Lineage: Eukaryota; Metazoa; Arthropoda; Arachnida; Scorpiones; Buthidae.
GAUAAUUUUGCCAAAUUUUAAAACAAAACAUUAAAUUUAAAUAAUGAACUAAAUUAUAAUGUUAAAUUCAAAAAGUUAAGUAAAAUAUUGCAUUUAUAUAAUCUGUAAAAUGAUAAAAUGCACAGAACCACAAAGUACUGAAGUACAACUUGGAAAACAGCUAGAUACAUAAAUAUAGAUUGAUGACAAUCAUAAUUGAUCUACCUCAAGAUUACAAUUAUAGGUUUAUAUAGAUAACUCUGUAGAGAAUGGAGGUUCAUCCCCAUCUCUAUACUGAUAUCGUCCCCGUGCCCCCUCUUUAGCCGCCUUCCUCGUAGUAGAUAUCUUCACUUGAACUGAAAACUCCCUCGCAUCAAUCCAUCUCAAUGUAGUGUUUACUAAGUCAGUCAAGAACUCCAUAAUCUCCAACAGCACUUUAUUAUUACCAAAACUAAUUUCAAACUGAUUAAUACAAAAAACAGCAAUUAUUCCUUCCUCUGAACAAAUGGCAAAUCUGCUGCGCCAUAAACUGAACAAUAACCAAUACACAUACCAAAAGUACUUUCCAAUUAAAACAAACCACACCAGUUGGUUUGAACAAACACACAUCAAAACAACUAAACGUACUAAAAUCCAGGAUGUCAAAGUCCACCUCAACAGUCAGCAGCACAAGAAAAAGGGAAGGAACAACACGUCACACCGUGGUGGUUCGUUUAUUUCUAUAGUGAUUUGCAUAUCAUAACAAAUAAUUUUUUUUCUUCUUUCAUAUUUAACAUAAUAUAAUCACACCGUG